This 2084-nucleotide ribosomal RNA is filed under the name Clostridioides difficile. Its description in RNAcentral is "bacterial LSU rRNA". It matches the Rfam family "Bacterial large subunit ribosomal RNA", at positions 819 to 2925 of the family's 2925-position model. The record is from RNAcentral. Lineage: Bacteria; Bacillati; Bacillota; Clostridia; Peptostreptococcales; Peptostreptococcaceae.
GGUGAAAUUCCAAUCGAGCCCGGAGAUAGCUGGUUCUCCCCGAAAUAGCUUUAGGGCUAGCCUCAAGGUGAGAGAUACGGAGGUAGAGCACUGAAUGUCCUAGGGGGUAUUGCACCUACCGAAGACUAUCAAACUCCGAAUGCCGUCAUCUUAUACUUGGGAGUCAGACUGUGGGUGAUAAGAUUCAUAGUCGAAAGGGCAACAGCCCAGAUCGUCAGCUAAGGUCCCUAAAUGUAAGUUAAGUGGUAAAGGAUGUGGGAUUGCACAGACAACCAGGAUGUUGGCUUAGAAGCAGCCACUCAUUCAAAGAGUGCGUAAUAGCUCACUGGUCGAGUGAUCCUGCGCCGAAGAUUUCCGGGGCUAAAACUUACUACCGAAGCUACGGCAUCAGUAAUGAUGGGUAGGGGAGCUUCCCAUACGGGUUGAAGCAUGACCGUAAGGACAUGUGGACAGUAUGGGAGUGAGAAUGUUGGCAUGAGUAGCGAGAUGUGGGUGAGAAUCCCACAGGCCGUAAACCCAAGGUUUCCAGGGGAAGGUUCGUCCGCCCUGGGUUAGUCGGGACCUAAGCUGAGGCCGAAAGGCGUAGGUGAUGGACAACAGGUUGAUAUUCCUGUACUACCGAUAACCGUUUGAGAGAAGGGAUGACACAGUAGGAUAAGCUAAGCACACUGUUGGUUAUGUGUGCCCAAGCAUUGAGGCAGUCAAAGUAGGCAAAUCCGCUUUGAUAAUGCUGGGAUGUGAUGGGGAGCGAAAUUUAGUAGCGAAGUAGCUGAUUUCACACUGUCAAGAAAAGUCUCUAUCGAGGUUAAAGGUACCCGUACCGCAAACCGACACAGGUGGGUGAGGAGAGUAUCCUAAGGCCAGCGAGAGAACUGUUGUUAAGGAACUCGGCAAAAUGACCCCGUAACUUAGGGAUAAGGGGUGCCACCAUCAGGUGGCCGCAGAGAAUAGGCCCAAGCGACUGUUUACCAAAAACAUAGGUUUCUGCUAAGUCGCAAGACGAUGUAUAGGAGCUGACGCCUGCCCGGUGCUGGAAGGUUAAGGGGAUCUGUUAGAGCAAUCGAAGCAGUGAACUUAAGCCCCAGUAAACGGCGGCCGUAACUAUAACGGUCCUAAGGUAGCGAAAUUCCUUGUCGGGUAAGUUCCGACCCGCACGAAAGGCGUAACGAUUUGGGCACUGUCUCAACAACAGACUCGGUGAAAUUGUAAUUCCGGUGAAGAUGCCGGAUACCUGCGACAGGACGGAAAGACCCCAUGGAGCUUUACUGUAGCUUGACAUUGGGUCUUGGUACUACAUGUACAGGAUAGGUGGGAGGCUUUGAAACCAGGACGCCAGUUUUGGCGGAGCCAUCCUUGGGAUACCACCCUUGUAGUACUGGGACUCUAACCAUAGGCCAUGAAUCUGGUCUUGGGACACUGUCAGGUGGGCAGUUUGACUGGGGCGGUCGCCUCCCAAAAGGUAACGGAGGCGCUCAAAGGUUCUCUCAGUACGGUCGGAAAUCGUACGUAGAGUGUAAAGGCAAAAGAGAGCUUGAUUGCAAGACAUACAGGUCGAGCAAGGAUGAAAAUCGGACUUAGUGAUCCGGUGGUUCUGCGUGGAAGGGCCAUCGCUCAACGGAUAAAAGCUACCCUGGGGAUAACAGGCUUAUCUCCCCCAAGAGUCCACAUCGACGGGGAGGUUUGGCACCUCGAUGUCGGCUCAUCACAUCCUGGGGCUGUAGUAGGUCCCAAGGGUUGGGCUGUUCGCCCAUUAAAGUGGUACGCGAGCUGGGUUCAGAACGUCGUGAGACAGUUCGGUCCCUAUCCGUCGCAGGCGUAGGAAAUUUGAGAAGACCUGUCCUUAGUACGAGAGGACCGGGAUGGACGUACCUCUGGUGUACCAGUUGUCCUGCCAAGGGCAUGGCUGGGUAGCUAUGUACGGAAUGGAUAAGCGCUGAAAGCAUCUAAGCGCGAAGUCAACUUCAAGAUAAGAUUUCCCACCGCAAGGGUAAGACCCCAGAAAGACUAUCUGGUUGAUAGGUCGAAGGUGUAAGUGCAGCAAUGUAUUUAGCUUAUCGAUACUAAUAGGUCGAGGACUUGACCAA